RNAcentral lists this ribosomal RNA (232 nucleotides) under uncultured bacterium. Its description in RNAcentral is "partial 16S ribosomal RNA". It matches the Rfam family "Bacterial small subunit ribosomal RNA", at positions 118 to 347 of the family's 1533-position model. The record is from RNAcentral.
UGAGGAACAUGACUUUCGGCGGGGGAUAGCCGGCCCAACGGCCGGGUAAUACCGCGUACGACCACAUGGGGACAUCCCUGAGUGGUGAAAGCAGCAAUGCGCCGAUGGAGUGCCUCGCGGCCUAUCAGCUAGUUGGUGAGGUAACGGCUCACCAAGGCAACGACGGGUANCUGGUCUGAGAGGAUGGCCAGCCACAGUUGGGACUGAGACACGGCCCAGACCUGUACGGGGA